This 630-nucleotide ribosomal RNA is filed under the name Triticum aestivum (bread wheat). RNAcentral's name for it is "partial small subunit ribosomal RNA". Lineage: Eukaryota; Viridiplantae; Streptophyta; Magnoliopsida; Poales; Poaceae. The record is from RNAcentral.
AUGGAGCUACAAAAUUUGAUUCAAACUCAAUGGUCUAGCAUGACAAUUGAUACUUGGACUGGCACAGGACAAAACAGGAAGUACUCCUCCAUCAAGAUGUAUAAAACAAUUUGUGCCAGAGCUGAACCGAACAAACUUUUCACAAAAAUCUGGAAGACAGCCAAUCGAUUAAGACACAAAAUUUUCUUCUGGCUCCUGCUACAUGACAGAGUGAACACCAGAAAUCUUUUGAAUCGGAAGAACAUGUUCCUUGAAUCUUAUGAUUGUGUCUUCUGUAAUGAGCACUCAGAAGAAACUCUAAGACACCUUUUCUGGGACUGUGUCUUCACUCAGGAAUGUUGGAAAAGCACCUUCCCUUCUAAAAAGCCAUGCAUCUCAAGCUACGACGAUAUUAUGCUGAUCUACUCAUUACUACCAAAGGGAAUUGCUCUUGAGAUCAUUAUUCAAGGUUGCUGGAGGAUCUGGACCCAAAGAAAUGGAAAGAUUUUUAGAAAGGAAGUGCCAAGCAUAAACUGUUGGAAGUACAGAUUAAAAGAGGAUCUUCAACUUCUCCAAUACAGAAUCAAAGCAAAGUACAAGGAUGUUUGCUGGAAUGGAUUGCUGCACAUUUGUAAUGUUUGCAGAGAUUAA